This is an RNA transcript of Lycium ferocissimum, 2177 nucleotides long. RefSeq lists it as uncharacterized. Lineage: Eukaryota; Viridiplantae; Streptophyta; Magnoliopsida; Solanales; Solanaceae. The transcript has 8 exons. The record is from RefSeq and is a predicted model, not a curated record.
AAAAGAAAUGUUUGAUAAUAGGAUUGUUGAAUAUAAUGUGGCUGGUUUUACAGAAGAUGAUUUUACAGUAGAAGUUUUCUCAUGUCCGUUCUUGGUUGUUAACGAGUCAGAUGGGGCUAGCGACUCGAUGGUCCGGCUUAUUUCGAGCUGUGUGUUAGUGUUUGAUAACGUUGACAAAGCCAACACCGCACUGUUCGACUUUAUCCUGCGGAUUCUAGAGAUUGGGUCAUAUGUCGAUGCCUCUGGAAGGCAGAUUGUUUUCUCUAACACACUGAUUCUCUUCACAUCACGUGUGGAGUUUCCCAGGUGCCGCUGUGCAAGAGUUGUUUGGGAAACUUCUUUCAAGCACCCUUUCAAGGAAUUGUUAAAAAGUGUAGGGGAAGUACAACAGCCACGGUGCGAUUGCAGUUUUCAUGAAUGUCUAACUGAUGCAGAGAAGCAGUUCAAGCCUCGGUUUUUUGAUUCUCUGGGUGACGUAAUUUUGAUCCCUUGGCUAUCUCUUUCUCAGUUUAUGUCAGUUUUCAGAAUACAAGUCCGCGAUGCCGCCUCCUAUUCGAAGAAAAAGUGGUUGUCUACCCGUCUGCCGCCGUGUUUCGUUAUAUUUGGAGGAAUAAGUAUGACAAGAUGUAAGAGGAAGGUGGUCAUGUAGUUAAGCAUUUUGUGGAGGAGUUAGUUUCCAAGUUGAGCAAUGUGGAUAGCCAGUCCAUAGUAUACAUUGAUGAGUUGGUGGGUACCAAUGAAUUGUCUGUCAGAACUCAGAAAUUAAGUGAUGUGACAGUUGCCCAUGACUUUAAGACGUUCAAAGUAUCCUUGGGAAAGUCGAGGAUCCUCUACCAGUUCGAAAAAGAACAUGCUAAGCAGAUAUACAAACUAAGCAUUGUUUACUUUGAUCUUGUCAAUUUGUUGGAUUCAAAGCAUGAUGUCCGACUUCCUUGUAUUCUGAAUAGUUUACUGGAAUUGCAUGCUAUGGUAGAUAAUUUAUUGGCCAGACCCAAAGAUUGGAGAGAGCUGGUGCCACUUGAGUACUUCGCGUAUUCACAUGGCGUGGGGGAUGUUGUGCAUGAGAGGGUCAACAGGGCUAGGUACACGUCUGAGGCUAUGUUUUCCAAAAUGCGAAGUAAAUUGGUUGAGCAAGUUACACCUGUCCAGACAGUCGCAAAGGCUCUAUUUAAGUGCAUUGAUGCCGAUCAUGAUCAUCUCAAGGACAAGCAUUGUCAACAAGUUGCAUCUUUCCUUUGCACAGGACUAACAAGUAUCGGUCAAAGACAGCUUGUGGAUGACCUUUCAAAGUACUUAGUUGCAGAUGACGGGACAACGAUGUUGGUUGAAGUGGAUUUGGCUACCUGCACUAGCCCAAACUCUUUUCUCAGGAAUGAACGUGGUCUCUUGCUGAAGAACACUAUUUUGAUGAGACCCUAUAGCGUCAUAGUGGUUUUUAACCUACAAUUGGCACAUCCAUCUGCUUUUACCAAGAUUAUUUCCAUUCUAGAUGAUGGUUUGGUGUCCGACAAUGAUGGGACUGUUAUAGAUUUCCGGAAAACUAUUAUCAUUUUUGUCCUGGAUCAAGGAAAUAAAGGUUUAAUUUCCAAGCUUGUCGGUGGAGGUCCAUAUGGAUCCAUUAAUCGGGAUCGAAACAUGGACAAGGAUCCUAUAGGCUUUAGAUUUGAGGUACUUAACCGGGUGGAUGAAAUUAUGCUUUUUAAUGAAGAUUUACUCCACGGUGCUCGAUUGUUCUAUGAAAGAGGGCAGGCAUCUCGUAAUGACUUCACCCGGGAUAAAUGAUGCAUUGGUUAAUCUGUUUUACAAUGGCAAGAGAGAAGUGGAUGGAAACAACAGGAACUUAUUUGAUGAAUUAAUGAGAAUCACUGAAUAUGCAUGUAUGUCCCAACUCAGGAGAGGACCCGUCAAAUUUUGACGGAACUGAGUGCACCUGAAUUUGUAAAUGGAUUAUAGUUUGAUAGACAAAGUAUAUUAUUUAAGUUUAGCUUUUAGCUGAAUAUAUCUUUUGCUUAUUUGCUUUAGGAUUUGACUACUAACAUCAAUCACGCAAAUCAGAGAUAGCAAUUUUUUUCUCUCAUGACUUUGCUUUUCAGGAAUUACCAAUGAAUAAGUAUAAAGCCUGUUUGGAUUGACUUAUUUUAAGUGCUUUUAAGCACUUUUGUAGUGUUUGGGUAAAA